RNAcentral lists this small RNA (87 nucleotides) under unclassified sequences. Its description in RNAcentral is "GA-cis RNA". It matches the Rfam family "GA-cis RNA". The record is from Rfam by way of RNAcentral.
UAGAGGAGGCACCCAUGCGUUGAAAACGCAUAUAAAAAUGGUGCCGACGAAAUGCCGCCUAGUGUAAGCGAGGGGGCGAUACGAUUU